Molecule: ribosomal RNA, 498 nt
Filed under: uncultured bacterium
Lineage: Bacteria
Description: partial 16S ribosomal RNA
Rfam family: Bacterial small subunit ribosomal RNA (bases 20-342)
Source: RNAcentral
GAUGAACGCUGGCGGCGUGCCUAAUACAUGCAAGUCGAGCGAACAGACGAGGAGCUUGCUCCUCUGACGUUAGCGGCGGACGGGUGAGUAACACGUGGAUAACCUACCUAUAAGACUGGGAUAACUUCGGGAAACCGGAGCUAAUACCGGAUAAUAUAUUGAACCGCAUGGUUCAAUAGUGAAAGACGGUUUUGCUGUCACUUAUAGAUGGAUCCGCGCCGCAUUAGCUAGUUGGUAAGGUAACGGCUUACCAAGGCAACGAUGCGUAGCCGACCGGAGAGGGGGGGGCGCCAACGGGGGAGCGGGGCCGGGGUCGGGACUCGGAGGGGGGGGGGCGGAGGGGAUUCUGCGGGAGGGGGGGAAGGCGGGAGGGGGCAGGGCGGGGGGGGGGAUGAGGGUGUUGGGUGCGUAAAACUGUGUUAUGGGGGAAGAACAAGUGGGAAGGGAACGGGGCGCGUCUGGGGGGGCCGUAAUAAGAAGGCGAGGGCAAACUAGGUG